Molecule: unclassified non-coding RNA, 433 nt
Filed under: soil metagenome
Description: partial contains 5.8S ribosomal RNA, internal transcribed spacer 2, and large subunit ribosomal RNA
Rfam family: 5.8S ribosomal RNA (bases 1-120)
Source: RNAcentral
GAUGAAGAACGUAGCGAAAUGCGAUACGUAAUGUGAAUUGCAGAAUUCAGUGAAUCAUCGAAUCUUUGAACGCAUAUUGCGCUCUCUGGUAUUCCGGAGAGCAUGUUUGUUUGAGUAUCAGUAAACACCUCAACUUCCAUAUCUUUUUUGAAAUGGGAGUUGGACUUGAGUGAUCCCAACGCUUUUCCUCACCGAAAAGUGGCGGGUUACUUGAAAUGCAGGUGCAGCUGGACUUUUCUCUGAGCUAUAAGCAUAUCUAUUUAGUCUGCCUAAAAAACAGAUUAUUACCUUUGCUGCAGCUAACAUAAAGGAGAUUAGUUCUUGUGCUGACUGAUGCAGGAUUCACAAAGACAGGCUUCGGCCGACUUUGUAAACUCGAUCUCAAAUCAAGUAAGACUACCCGCUGAACUUAAGCAUAUCAAUAAGCGGAGGA